AUACGUAGGUGGCGAGCGUUGUCCGGAUUUACUGGGCGUAAAGGGCGUGCAGGCGGUCUGCUAAGUCCAGGGUGAAAGCUCCCGGCUCAACUGGGAGAGGUCCUUGGAUACUGACGGACUUGAGGGAGGUAGAGGAAAGUGGAAUUCCCGGUGUAGUGGUGAUAUGCGUAGAUAUCGGGAGGAACACCAGUGGCGAAGGCGGCUUUCUGGGCCUUUCCUGACGCUGAGACGCGAAAGCGUGGGGAGCGAACCGGAUUAGAUACCCUAGUAGUCC
This 274-nucleotide ribosomal RNA is filed under the name uncultured bacterium. RNAcentral's name for it is "partial 16S ribosomal RNA". It matches the Rfam family "Bacterial small subunit ribosomal RNA", at positions 523 to 796 of the family's 1533-position model. The record is from RNAcentral.